GUGUUGCGGCUCAGCGGUAGAGUGCUCACCUAGUGCAUGAGAGGUGCUGGGUUCGAUCCUCUGCACCACA
Molecule: transfer RNA, 70 nt
Filed under: Marmota monax (woodchuck)
Lineage: Eukaryota; Metazoa; Chordata; Mammalia; Rodentia; Sciuridae
Description: tRNA.Thr
Source: RNAcentral